CCUACGGGCGGCAGCAGUGGGGAAUAUUGCACAAUGGGGGAAACCCUGAUGCAGCAACGCCGCGUGAGUGAAGAAGUAUUUCGGUAUGUAAAGCUCUAUUAGCAGGGAAGAAGAAAGACGGUACCUGACUAAGAAGCCCCGGCUAACUACGUGCCAGCAGCCGCGGUACUAAGGAGGGGGCAAGCGUUAUCCGGAUUUCCUGGGUGUAAAGGGAGCGUAGACGGGUGUGCAAGUCAGAAGUGAAAGCCCGUGGCUGAACCGCAGAACUGCUUUGGAAACUGUAUAGCUUGAGUAAGGGAGAGGUAGGCGGAAUUCCUGGUGUAGCGGUGAAAUGCGUAGAUAUUAGGAGGAACACCAAUGGCGAAGGCGGCCUGCUGGACAGAAACUGACGUUGAGGCGCGAAAGCGUGGGGAGCAAACAGGAUUAGAUACCCCGGUAGUC
This 441-nucleotide ribosomal RNA is filed under the name uncultured bacterium. RNAcentral describes it as "partial 16S ribosomal RNA". It matches the Rfam family "Bacterial small subunit ribosomal RNA", at positions 338 to 795 of the family's 1533-position model. The record is from RNAcentral.